UCUCGAUUAAAUCUUAAUCAAAUUAGAAAUUAAUUAACUUUAAAUUUUGAUCAAAUCAAGAAUCUUAAUCAAAUUAAAAAUUAAUCAAGUUCAAAUUCUGAUCAAAUCAAAAAUCGAACAUCUUUAGCGAUUAGGUCAUCUCAUUAUCUAAUCGAGAUAAAUCUAAUUGAAUCUAAUUGUUGCCCAGCUAUGUAACCCAAGAGGGGGGG
RNAcentral lists this long non-coding RNA (209 nucleotides) under Elaeis guineensis (African oil palm). RNAcentral describes it as "long non-coding RNA (EGUI_LNC071180)". The record is from RNAcentral. Lineage: Eukaryota; Viridiplantae; Streptophyta; Magnoliopsida; Arecales; Arecaceae.